Molecule: ribosomal RNA, 184 nt
Filed under: uncultured bacterium
Lineage: Bacteria
Description: partial 16S ribosomal RNA
Rfam family: Bacterial small subunit ribosomal RNA
Source: RNAcentral
UACAUGAAGCUGGAAUCGCUAGUAAUCGCAGGUCAGCAUACUGCGGUGAAUACGUUCCCGGGUCUUGUACACACCGCCCGUCACACCAUGGGAGCCGGAAAUGCCCGAAGCCAGUGACCCAACCUUAGGGAGGGAGCUGUCGAAGGUGGAGCCGGUAACUGGGGUGAAGUCGUAACAAGGUAUC